Molecule: ribosomal RNA, 487 nt
Filed under: Dolomedes raptor
Lineage: Eukaryota; Metazoa; Arthropoda; Arachnida; Araneae; Dolomedidae
Description: partial 16S ribosomal RNA
Source: RNAcentral
UCGCCUGUUUUAUCAAAAACAUUUCUAUUAGAUAAUUUAUUAAUAGUAAAAUCUGCUCAAUGAAAAUUUAAAUAGCCGCAUAUGUGCUAAGGUAGCAUAAUCAUUUGUCUUUUAAUUAAAGACUAGAACAAAAGAUUUAACUUUUAAAUUAAUUUUUUAAAUUUAAUUAUUUAAAUUUUCUUAAAUGUAAAAAGACAUUUAUACUUUAAAAAGACGAUAAGACCCUAUCGAACUUUUACUUUAGUUAAACUGGGGUAGUUAAUUAAUUAUAAUUUUAAUUUUAAAUAAAAUUUAAAUAUUAGACCUAAUAUAAUUAAUCAAAUAAUCAAGUUACCGUAGGGAUAACAGCGUAAUAAAAUUUUUAAGUUCUCAUUUUAAAUAAAGAUUGCGACCUCGAUGUUGAUUUAAUUACCUAAUUCACGCAAUAGUAAAUUAAGGAAGUCUGUUCGACUUUUAAAAAAUUACAUGAUCUGAGUUCCAAACCGGA